GAUGAACGCUGGCGGCGUGCCUAACACAUGCGAGUCGAGCGAACGAACGGAGCUUGCGCUUCGCUGAAGUUACGGACGGGCGGGUGAGUCACACGUGGAUAACCUACAUAUCAGGCUGAGAUCACGUAGGGACACCGGAGCUAACACCGGAUAAUAUUGUGAAACGCAUGGUUCAUAAGUGAAAGACCGUCUUGCUGUCUCUUAUAGGUGGAUCCGCGCUGCAUUAGCUUGUUGGUAGGGUAACGGCUUACCAAGGCAACGAUGCAUAGCCGACCUGAGAGGAUGAUCGGCCACACUGGAACUGAGACACGGUCCAGACUCCUACGGGAGGCAGCAGUGGGGAAUCUUCCGCAAUGGGCGAAAGCCUGACGCAGCAACGCCGCGUGAGUGAAGAAGGUCUUCGGAUUGUAAAACUCUUUUAGUUGGGAAGAACAUAUGUGUGUGAAUCGGUGCACGUCUUGACGGUACCGACACAGAAAGCCCCGGCUAACUACGUG
RNAcentral lists this ribosomal RNA (497 nucleotides) under uncultured bacterium. RNAcentral's name for it is "partial 16S ribosomal RNA". It matches the Rfam family "Bacterial small subunit ribosomal RNA", at positions 28 to 507 of the family's 1533-position model. The record is from RNAcentral.